GCUGGCAACGCGGUCACCGAAGCAUUACAUUAUUUAUACAUUUUAACAAAGGCGCCAGCAUUCCUUGGUUACAAGUUGCAUAGCUUUUUAAAAAAAUAGUUCUCAAAACCCUAUUUGCUCGUCAUUCCCGUCCUUUCUGAUGGUAAUUUUUCCUGAGGAAUAAUUAUUCCUCAGCAGUUCUGCCCGCCUUACGUUUUGAGUAGGUGGUCAGUGGGUCGGUGGUCGCGAUCUCCCACUGCCGGAAUUGCCUUUCCCCCACGUACUGCUCAGUCCUGACUGCUGCCUUCUAGACAGCCCAUUCAUCCUGGGAUUGUCUUCCCUCUUCCUCGUAACAAAGGAUUAGCCGAGCAUACGAUGUUCACAGUGCAAUUGCUUAAUCGUAACUGUGCAGCUAUCGCUGCUGAUAACAACAAAAAAAAGCUGCGAAGUUUGGUUCAAAUCUUCUGGGGCUAGAUACCAGCAGCGCCUGGCCUGUAUUGCUUUUACUGGAUGUCUUUACUGCCCUGCCAGCCCUGGUUAGUCUGGCAGCAAAGCACAACACAGCUCCCACCACAACAGCCUUUCCAUCUAUGCCAUUCCUAAAUGAUACUUCCUGUGUAUCCUCCACGUUUUCCUUGCUUCCAGUCCUUAAAAAAAAUUCCUCUUCUCUAAUUUCCUCUUCUGUUAUUUCUGGCUUUUUUUAUCUUCUUGCUCACAGCUUCCCAUCCUUUCCUCUUCUUCAUCUCCCAAGCUGUAGGAAAAACUGCCUGUGCCUGUCCCAGCCACCUCCUUGCCAAGUCUUUAGCUGGUCAGAGGUCAGCUUUGAAGUUCCCAUCUCUAAUCAGUGGAACAACAUGCGCUGAGCCAGCACCAAGAGCCCUUCAGAGAAUCUGCUGAUUGUUCUCCUUGUUGUGGGUACAAACAGACAAAGAAACUCGCCACAGUUUUUAAAGAACCAACUCCUUAAUGAGUUCAUACUAUUAACAGUAAUUGGAGGUUGUAUAAACAGGUCCCCAAAGUCAGCACAGCCCUGAUGCACACAGGAUAUUGAGGCCUCAGAUGUCACAUGUGAAUGUUUCUCUGGGGCAUCUGCUCUCCAAAAUGCCGUGGAAAGCUGAAGAGCUUUCACAUGAGCUGCAGAGACCCCAGCAUGUCACAGAGUUUUACUGACUGGUGUGCCAUAAUAGGAAUGGAAGAGGACCCACAAGAUCUCAUGGGAGCCAGACUCAGGUAGGAAGCACAGGAAGCACAAGUAGCAGGAAGCACACUGCGCAACCUGAUAUUCCGAAAAAUUACCACAAGAUGGGAAGAACUCGUAUACAAGGAAAAGGUCUCUCAUUUGGGUCCUGUUUUCUACAGUGAAUAUCUUUGAAGACACAGUAUAGCAGUCUGGAUUCAAUUCUGACUCUUUGGUUUCAUGGGAUUCAGGAAGCAGUCAAGGCUUUCUGGGCACUGUCUGUAUCAGCGCAGAAUGGGAUGCAUCUCUGGAGAGGUCUUCAGCCGAUGGAUCACCGUUGUCUGUCUGAGGACAGAGUGGAUCACCUCUCUCCACUGGGUCUUUUUUAAGUGGGAGCCCAAUGCAAGCUUUGAAAAACUAACACAGACACCUAAUGUAGGAACUAUCAAACCCUGCCCCAGGGGGUUUGAUUUCCUCUUCCUUUCUCCAGGCAUUGCUUGUGCUGAUGGAGAAAGCCCAGUAAUGGGGCACCAGACUGGUGGGGAAAACCCAUGGAAUUCCCUGACCCUGUGCCCUUUGUCUGUCCUCUGCCUUUCUGCCUCCCCAGUGGACCAUUGCUGCCGGCAUGCUCUCAGCAUCUUCUGCUUGCACCUGGUUUUGGAAGCAACCGGGAAGAGUAAUCAUUCAGCUGAUGUUACAUCACCAUUUUGCAGCUUUUAGGCUUGCUACUGGCAGUUCAUCAUUCCAUUGGAAUUAAAAUGGACAACUUUUUGUUCAGGUUUGGUGAGUAAAGCCAAACUUGAACAUGCUUAUCUUCCUCUCUUAUCUGUUGCAUUGCAUGAUACAUGCAGCCUGCAGUGGCAUCCUUGCCUGUGAAAACUGUUUUCAUUAAACAACCUAAACAGACUGAAACUCUUGGAAUAUGUUUGCUUUUGUUCCGUGCACAGAUGUGGUUAGAGGGAAACCUAUUGGAACACAUGCUGGCAGUGCUAAGCUGUGCUCAGCGGAGAGAGCUCUCUGACCAGGAAAAGAGUUUUCUGGUCACAAGUUUCUGUGCUUUUCAGCCUCAGUGUUGUUAAAAUAAGU
Passer domesticus (house sparrow) is the source of this 2242-nucleotide long non-coding RNA. RefSeq lists it as uncharacterized. The record is from RefSeq and is a predicted model, not a curated record. The transcript has 4 exons. Lineage: Eukaryota; Metazoa; Chordata; Aves; Passeriformes; Passeridae.